GGCAUAAGUGAACAGAAGCUCUUUAAAGAUGAACUUGCGGGAACCAGCAGACUGAUGCAAUAUAUCACAGGGACAAAAAGGCCAGACAACAACUUUCUGAGUACAUGGCAUAAAACCAGAUGGGGAGAAAAGAAACUGGUACUUUUUGCCUGACAUGACCUGAGGAAAAUUAUUGGCUAUUAUGCGGCUCUUGCAUGGUUGUUUCAGGCGUAUCAUGUUCUGAAGUGAUUAAAAUGCAACUGGUGACAGCAGGAACCCAAAUGCCCUUCUGAAUUGUGUGCAAAAUGUGACAGUUUUUCUUUCAAUCCAGGCAUUCAUCCAAACCAAGCCAUUUCAGGUUCAGGCCAGUUGGAGUAGCUGAAUACAGACACAGAGAUGCUACUUAAGGACAAGAUGAAGUAAUGAGAGAGCAGAGGGAGGAGGAGAUGCAAGAGAGAAGACAAGAAUUUGUUAGAAUAUUUAAAGAGCUCGGUCAUAGACAUCAAGUGCAUCUUGUCCUGGUCUUUCAGUUUGAACAUGAGGAUAAAAUAUGGAAUCACCAGGGUCAGAACAGAGCAAGGGCAAAGGAAGCCAAAACUCAUUAUCAGCAACUAAGUUUCCAAAUACUGAAUAGUUUGUCUGUCCUUGUUAGGCCUGUUUUCUAGAUUUAAAAAUAGCCAAGAUUACUCUUCAAUCAACACUUGCAAAUUAUGAUCUGGCAGUGACCUGUGCGGAGCAUUCUGCAUGUCUGUGCUGUUUGGGUGGUCACAGAUUUACGAGUUUUCCUGAAUGCCUCCUGGAUAGCUGGGAGGAAGGCCACGGUUCUUUUAGGCACAUAAAUAAAUGCCAGUUGUGGUAGUGGCA
RNAcentral lists this long non-coding RNA (843 nucleotides) under Junco hyemalis (dark-eyed junco). RNAcentral's name for it is "lncRNA (ENSJHYG00000000024.1)". Lineage: Eukaryota; Metazoa; Chordata; Aves; Passeriformes; Passerellidae. The record is from RNAcentral.